This 243-nucleotide ribosomal RNA is filed under the name uncultured bacterium. RNAcentral's name for it is "partial 16S ribosomal RNA". It matches the Rfam family "Bacterial small subunit ribosomal RNA", at positions 15 to 248 of the family's 1533-position model. The record is from RNAcentral.
GAUCCUGGCUCAGGACGAACGCUGGCGGCGUGCUUAACACAUGCAAGUCGAACGAAGCAACCAUGAAGCCUAGCGAUUGGUUGACUGAGUGGCGGACGGGUGAGUAACGCGUGGGUAACCUGCCUCAUACAGGGGGACAACAGUUAGAAAUGACUGCUAAUACCGCAUAACCCGCUAGGGCCGCAUGGCCCGGACGGAAAAGGAGCAAUCCGGUAUGAGAUGGACCCGCGUCUGAUUAGCUGG